Molecule: ribosomal RNA, 500 nt
Filed under: uncultured bacterium
Lineage: Bacteria
Description: partial 16S ribosomal RNA
Rfam family: Bacterial small subunit ribosomal RNA
Source: RNAcentral
AUUGAACGCUGGCGGAAUGCUUUACACAUGCAAGUCGGACGGCAGCACGGACUUCGGUCUGGUGGCGAGUGGCGAACGGGUGAGUAAUGUAUCGGAACGUGCCCAGUCGUGGGGGAUAACGUAGUGAAAAUUACGCUAAUACCGCAUACGAUCUAUGGAUGAAAGCGGGGGGUCGCAAGACCUCGCGCGAUUGGAGCGGCCGAUAUCAAAUUAGGUAGUUGGUGGGGUAAAGGCCCACCAAGCCAACGAUCUGUAGCUGGUCUGAGAGGACGACCAGCCACACUGGAACUGAGACACGGUCCAGACUCCUACGGGAGGCAGCAGUGGGGAAUUUUGGACAAUGGGCGAAAGCCUGAUCCAGCCAUUCCGCGUGCAGGAUGAAGGCCCUCGGGUUGUAAACUGCUUUUGUACAGAACGAAAAGGUUUCUACUAAUACUAGGAGCUCAUGACGGUACUGUAAGAAUAAGCACCGGCUAACUACGUGCCAGCAGCCGCGGUAA